Molecule: small nucleolar RNA, 119 nt
Organism: Manis pentadactyla (Chinese pangolin)
Lineage: Eukaryota; Metazoa; Chordata; Mammalia; Pholidota; Manidae
Product: small nucleolar RNA SNORD22
Exons: 1
Source: RefSeq, a predicted model, not a curated record
UUCCAGUAAAGAAACAUUCACUCAUCUUACCCUGGUCCCAGAGCCUGUAAAGGUGAAUUUACCGGGGCUGGCUCGGGAAGAGGAGGAAAGUUUGUUGGAGAAGAAACCAUCUGAGAGGG